UGGUUCUGGCAUCGAUGAAGAACGCAGCGAAAUGCGAUAAGUAAUGUGAAUUGCAGAAUUCAGUGAAUCAUCGAAUCUUUGAACGCACAUUGCGCCCUCUGGUAUUCCGGGGGGCAUGCCUGUUCGAGCGUCAUUUCAACCCUCAAGCCUGGCUUGGUGUUGGGGCACUGCCUGUAAAAGGGCAGGCCCUGAAAUAUAGUGGCGAGCUCGCCAGGACUCCGAGCGUAGUAGUUAAACCCUCGCUUUGGAAGGCCUGGCGGUGCCCUGCCGUUAAACCCCAACUUUUGAAAAUUUGACCUCGGAUCAGGUAGGAAUACCCGCUGA
RNAcentral lists this unclassified non-coding RNA (324 nucleotides) under uncultured fungus. Its description in RNAcentral is "partial contains 5.8S ribosomal RNA and internal transcribed spacer 2". The stretch from base 1 to 133 matches the Rfam family "5.8S ribosomal RNA", at positions 22 to 154 of the family's 154-position model. Lineage: Eukaryota; Fungi. The record is from RNAcentral.